RNAcentral lists this long non-coding RNA (454 nucleotides) under Physcomitrium patens. RNAcentral's name for it is "long non-coding RNA (PPAT_LNC011771)". Lineage: Eukaryota; Viridiplantae; Streptophyta; Bryopsida; Funariales; Funariaceae. The record is from RNAcentral.
GCGUGCAAAGUGAACAAACUUUAGAACUUGAAAUAGAAUAAAGCUGUUUAACCAACAUGACAGCCAUACUCAAGUUAAAAUGCUAACAUCAGGACGUCUUGUUUAUCCUACCUUAUGGCCCCAAAAGAGAUAAGAGAAACUGAGACAAUACAAACCAAUAAACGCCACAGCACGAUUUUUAAAAGUACUAAUAGUGCAAACUCACAGACCUUGUCUUUAAACAGGAUAAUUAUUUCCAUCAUGAGAUUAUAAGGAAGAAUCUUGCCAGGAAAUAUUUUGCAGAUGAUUGCAACUCUAUCGGAAAACCAUCCUCCAAAAAUGAGAGAUCUAACAUAAACAAGGAUCAAAGAGGUGAACAAACCUUCGAAAGUUCAGGAUCAAAACAGCACAUAAUGGCAUGAACGUGAUGAACGUGAAUAUGCGCUGUAUUGAUCCUAAUCACGUUCAUCCUGUU